GUCUGGUCUGGGGUCUGUUUUAGUUUAGAGGGUCUGGUCUUGGAUCUGUAUUAGUUUAUUGGGUCUGGUCUGGGGUCUGUAUUAGUUUAGAAGGUCUGGUCUUGGAUCUGUAUUAGUUUAGGGGGUCUGGUCUGGGGUCUGUAUUAGUUUAGGGGGUCUGGUCUGGGGUCUGUAUUAGUUUAGGGGGUCUGCUCUGUGGUCUGUAUUAGCUUAGAAGGUCAGGUCUCAGAUCUGUAUUAGUUUAGAGGGUCUGGUCUGGGCGUUUUAUUAGUUUAGAAGGUCUGGUCUAGGGUCUGUAUUAGUUUAGGGGGUCUGGUCUGGGGUCUAUAUUAGUUUAGGGGGUCGGGUCUGUGGUCUGUAU
Molecule: long non-coding RNA, 361 nt
Organism: Bufo bufo (common toad)
Lineage: Eukaryota; Metazoa; Chordata; Amphibia; Anura; Bufonidae
Exons: 3
Source: RefSeq, a predicted model, not a curated record